Long non-coding RNA from Trifolium pratense (red clover), 542 nucleotides. RefSeq lists it as uncharacterized. The record is from RefSeq and is a predicted model, not a curated record. NCBI's taxonomy places the organism in Eukaryota, Viridiplantae, Streptophyta, Magnoliopsida, Fabales, Fabaceae. The transcript has 3 exons.
UUUUAGUGCAUACCGCGGCGGCUAAUUAUUUCCACUUAUUUCUCGGUUCAAGUUUCACCGUUCCAAAUCCCUAAAUCUGUGAUUCUCACUCACAAGAUUCAUUCCCUAAAUCUGCGAUUCUCACUCCACAAGCUCCAAUCCCUAAAUCUCUCAAAGCUAGUUCAGAUUCAUCUCAAGCUUCGUUCAAAUUUGUUAUUCAACCUCUCAAGCUUCGAUGAACCUUCAAGCUUCGGGUUCAACAUUUAGAUUCAGGCUUUGUUGAACCUUCAAUCUUCAAUCUCCAUUCAAAUUGAAAUUCAAUCUUCAAAAUCCAGGAAAUGCGAUUGGAGUUAUUCCUUAUCGGAUCCGUGUCAAAGAAGAGGAUGGUGAACUCUUUGUUGUUGAUGAAGUUAAUAGCAACAUUGUUCGAAUCACCCCACCACUGUCUCAAUAUAGUCGAGGAAGAUUGGUAGCUGGGUCAUUUCAGGGAUACACUGAUCAUGUGGAUGGAAAACCUAGUGAUGCUCGGUUUAAUCAUCCCAAAGGUAUAUCUAUGGAUGAUA